RNAcentral lists this ribosomal RNA (429 nucleotides) under Actinomycetes bacterium. RNAcentral's name for it is "Actinobacteria bacterium partial 16S ribosomal RNA". It matches the Rfam family "Bacterial small subunit ribosomal RNA", at positions 355 to 776 of the family's 1533-position model. The record is from RNAcentral. Lineage: Bacteria; Bacillati; Actinomycetota; Actinomycetes.
UAGGGAAUCUUCCGCAAUGGGCGAAAGCCUGACGGAGCAACGCCGCGUGAGUGAUGAAGGUCUUCGGAUCGUAAAACUCUGUUAUUAGGGAAGAACAAAUGUGUAAGUAACUAUGCACGUCUUGACGGUACCUAAUCAGAAAGCCACGGCUAACUACGUGCCAGCAGCCGCGGUAAUACGUAGGUGGCAAGCGUUAUCCGGAAUUAUUGGGCGUAAAGCGCGCGUAGGCGGUUUUUUAAGUCUGAUGUGAAAGCCCACGGCUCAACCGUGGAGAGUCAUUGGAAACUGGGAAACUUGAGUGCAGAAGAGGAAAGUGGAAUUCCAUGUGUAGCGGUGAAAUGCGCAGAGAUAUGGAGGAACACCAGUGGCGAAGGCGACUUUCUGGUCUGUAACUGACGCUGAUGUGCGAAAGCGUGGGGAUCAAACAGG